RNAcentral lists this ribosomal RNA (497 nucleotides) under uncultured bacterium. RNAcentral describes it as "partial 16S ribosomal RNA". It matches the Rfam family "Bacterial small subunit ribosomal RNA", at positions 28 to 507 of the family's 1533-position model. The record is from RNAcentral.
GAUGAACGCUGGCGGCGUGCCUAAUACAUGCAAGUCGAGCGAACGGACGAGAAGCUUGCUUCUCUGAUGUUAGCGGCGGACGGGUGAGUAACACGUGGAUAACCUACCUAUAAGACUGGGAUAACUUCGGGAAACCGGAGCUAAUACCGGAUAAUAUUUUGAACCGCAUGGUUCAAAAGUGAAAGACGGUCUUGCUGUCACUUAUAGAUGGAUCCGCGCUGCAUUAGCUAGUUGGUAAGGUAACGGCUUACCAAGGCAACGAUGCAUAGCCGACCUGCGAGGGUACUCGGCCAAACUGGAAUUGGAGCACGAUCCACACCACUACGGGAGGCACCAGUAGGGAAUCUUCCGCGAUGGGCGAAAGCCUGACAUUGCAACACCGCGUGAAUCAUGAUCCUCUUCUGCUCGUAAAACUCUGUUAUCAGGGAAGAACAUAUGUGCAAGUAACUGUGAACAUAAUGACGGUACCUAAACAGAAAGCCACGGCUAACUACGUG